RNAcentral lists this ribosomal RNA (488 nucleotides) under uncultured bacterium. RNAcentral describes it as "bacterial SSU rRNA". It matches the Rfam family "Bacterial small subunit ribosomal RNA", at positions 29 to 509 of the family's 1533-position model. The record is from RNAcentral.
AACGAACGCUGGCGGCGCGCUUAACACAUGCAAGUCGAACGAGAAGGCGUAGCAAUACGCUUGUAAAGUGGCGAACGGGUGAGGAAUACGUGGGUAACCUACCCUCGAGUGGGGAUAACCCGCCGAAAGGCGGGCUAAUACCGCGUACGCUUCCGAUCUUGCGGGAUCGGAAGGAAAGCUGUCCCAAGGGGAUGGCGCUCAAGGAUGGGCUCAUGUCCUAUCAGCUUGUUGGUAGGGUAACGGCCUACCAAGGCAUCGACGGGUAGCUGGUCUGAGAGGACGAUCAGCCACACUGGCACUGCGACACGGGCCAGACUCCUACGGGAGGCAGCAGUGAGGAAUAUUGCGCAAUGGGCGAAAGCCUGACGCAGCGACGCCGCGUGGGGGAUGAAGGUCUUCGGAUUGUAAACCCCUUUCGGGAGGGAAGACGGCCUUAGACAACUAAGGCGGACGGUACCUCCAGAAGCAGCCACGGCUAACUUCGUGCC